This 395-nucleotide ribosomal RNA is filed under the name uncultured bacterium. RNAcentral's name for it is "bacterial SSU rRNA". It matches the Rfam family "Bacterial small subunit ribosomal RNA", at positions 361 to 773 of the family's 1533-position model. The record is from RNAcentral.
AUAUUGGACAAUGGGGGAAACCCUGAUCCAGCAAUGCCGCGUGAGUGAAGAAGGCCUUAGGGUUGUAAAGCUCUUUCGCCCGAGACGAUGAUGACGGUAUCGGGAGAAGAAGCCCCGGCUAAUUCCGUGCCAGCAGCCGCGGUAAUACGGAAGGGGCUAGCGUUGUUCGGAUUUACUGGGCGUAAAGCGCGCGUAGGCGGCCGCUCAAGUGAGGCGUGAAAGCCCCGGGCUUAACCUGGGAACCGCGCUUCAGACUGGUCGGCUCGAGUCCGGGAGAGGGUGGUGGAAUUCCCAGUGUAGAGGUGAAAUUCGUAGAUAUUGGGAAGAACACCGGUGGCGAAGGCGGCCACCUGGCCCGGUACUGACGCUAUAGCGCGAAAGCGUGGGGAGCAAAC